This 484-nucleotide ribosomal RNA is filed under the name uncultured bacterium. RNAcentral's name for it is "partial 16S ribosomal RNA". It matches the Rfam family "Bacterial small subunit ribosomal RNA", at positions 30 to 507 of the family's 1533-position model. The record is from RNAcentral.
AUUGAACGCUAGCGGGAUGCUUUACACAUGCAAGUCGAACGGCAGCGCGGACUUCGGUCUGGCGGCGAGUGGCGAACGGGUGAGUAAUGUAUCGGAACGUGCCCAGUAGCGGGGGAUAACUACGCGAAAGCGUAGCUAAUACCGCAUACGCCCUACGGGGGAAAGCAGGGGAUCGUAAGACCUUGCACUAUUGGAGCGGCCGAUAUCGGAUUAGCUAGUUGGUGAGGUAACGGCUCACCAAGGCGACGAUCCGUAGCUGGUUUGAGAGGACGACCAGCCAAGCUGGGACUGGGACACGGCCCAGACUCCUACGGGAGGCAGCAGUGGGGAAUUUUGGACAAUGGGGGCAACCCUGAUCCAGCCAUCCCGCGUGUGCGAUGAAGGCCUUCGGGUUGUAAAGCACUUUUGGCAGGAAAGAAACGUCGCGGGCUAAUACCCCGUGGAACUGACGGUACCUGCAGAAUAAGCACCGGCUAACUACGUG